UGGUUGGCACCUGAACUGUAUUGACUUGAGUGCAGGAGAAGGUAAAGCUGAAUCCUAGUGGUAGGCGGUGAAUGCGUAGAUAUUUAGGAGGAAACACCCAGUGGCGAAGGCGGCUUACUGGACCUGUAACUGACGCUGAGAACACGAAAGCGUGGGUAGCAAAACAGGAUUAGAUAUCCUCGGUAGUCAACGCUGUAAAUGAUGAGUGCUAGGUGUUGAGUAGCGAUAUUCAGUGCCCGGAGUAAACACAAUAAGCACUCCCGCCUGGGGAGUACGUACGCAAGUAUGAAACUCAAAGGAAUUGACGGGGACCCGCACAAGCAGCGGAGCAUGUGGUUUAAUUCGAAGCAACGCGAAGAACCUUACCAAGGCUUGACAUCCCCUUGACCAGUGCAGAGAUGUACUCUCUUCUUCGGAAGCAAGAGAGACAGGUGGUGCAUGGUUGUCGUCAGCUCGUGUCGUGAGAUGUUGGGUUAAGUCCCGCAACGAGCGCAACCCUUAUCCUUAGUUGCCAGCAUAUAAGGUGGGCACUCUAAGGAGACUGCCGGUGAUAAACCGGAGGAAGGUGGGGAUGACGUCAAAUCAUCAUGCCCCUUAUGUCUUGGGCUACACACGUGCUACAAUGGUCGGUACAACGGGGAGCGAAGGAGUGAUCCGGAGCAAAUCCCAAUAAACCGAUCCCAGUUCGGAUUGCAGGCUGCAACUCGC
RNAcentral lists this ribosomal RNA (708 nucleotides) under uncultured bacterium. RNAcentral describes it as "bacterial SSU rRNA". It matches the Rfam family "Bacterial small subunit ribosomal RNA", at positions 617 to 1315 of the family's 1533-position model. The record is from RNAcentral.